GUCCCUGUAGUGCAAUGGAUAGCACGUUGGACUUCUAAUCCAAAGGUCGUGUGUUCGAAUCCCACUUGGGUUG
Molecule: transfer RNA, 73 nt
Filed under: Trichonephila clavata
Lineage: Eukaryota; Metazoa; Arthropoda; Arachnida; Araneae; Nephilidae
Rfam family: tRNA
About the family: Transfer RNA (tRNA) molecules are approximately 80 nucleotides in length.
Source: Rfam by way of RNAcentral